Molecule: ribosomal RNA, 939 nt
Filed under: uncultured bacterium
Lineage: Bacteria
Description: bacterial SSU rRNA
Rfam family: Bacterial small subunit ribosomal RNA
Source: RNAcentral
GCUAACAUGCAAGUCGAACGCCCUAGCAAUAGGGAGUGGCGCACGGGUGAGUAACAUGUGGGAAUAUGCCUUUUGGUACGGAACAACGUUUGGAAACGAACGCUAAUACCGUAUGGUCCCUUCGGGGUAAAGAUUUAUCGCCAAAAGAUUAGCCCGCACUAGAUUAGCUAGUUGGUAAGGUAAUGGCUUACCAAGGCGACGAUCUAUAGCUGUUCUGAGAGGAAGAUCAGCCACACUGGGACUGAGACACGGCCCAGACUCCUACGGGAGGCAGCAGUUAGGAAUAUUGGACAAUGGGCGCAAGCCUGAUCCAGCCAUGCCGCGUGAGUGAUGAAGGCCUUCGGGUUGUAAAGCUCUUUAGCCGACGAAUAUAAUGACUGUAGUCGGAGAAUAAGCCCCGGCUAACUUCGUGCCAGCAGCCGCGGUAAUACGAAGGGGGCGAGCGUUAUUCGGAAUCACUGGGCGUAAAGCGUGCGUAGGCUGUUUUGUAAGUCAGAAGUGAAAGCCCAGGGCUUAACCCUGGAAUUGCUUUUGAAACUACAAGACUCGAAUUCGGGAGAGGAUAGCGGAAUUGUCAGUGUAGCAGUGAAAUGCGUAGAUAUUGACAGGAACACCAGUGGCGAAAGCGGCUAUCUGGACCGACAUUGACGCUGAGGCACGAAAGCGUGGGGAGCAAACAGGAUUAGAUACCCUGGUAGUCCACGCCGUAAACGAUGUGAGUUUGUCGCUGGGAAGCUUAGCUUUUCGGUGACGUAGUUAACGCGUUAAACUCACCGCCUGGGAAGUACGGCCGCAAGGCUAAAACUCAAAGGAAUUGACGGGGACCCGCACAAGCGGUGGAGUAUGUGGUUUAAUUCGUCGCAACGCGAAGAACCUUACCAGGCCUUGACAUACCGAUUACAGGGAUCAGAGAUGAACCCUUUCAGUUCGGCUGGAUCG